CUGCAGCUCAAGUGGUGACCGCUAUUAUUGGGCCUAAAACGUUCGUAGCCGGCUGAGUAAAUGCCUGGGUAAAUCGUGCCGCUUAACGGUACGAAUUCCGGGUAGACUGCUUAGCUUGAGACCGGGAGAAGCUAGAGGUACUCCUGGGGUAGGGGUGAAAUCCUGUAAUCCUGGGGGGACCACCAGUGGCGAAGGCGUCUAGCUAGAACGGGUCUGACGGUGAGGAACGAAACCCUGGGGCGCAAACCGGAUUAGAUACCCGAGUAGUCC
This 270-nucleotide ribosomal RNA is filed under the name uncultured archaeon. RNAcentral's name for it is "partial 16S ribosomal RNA". It matches the Rfam family "Archaeal small subunit ribosomal RNA", at positions 477 to 747 of the family's 1478-position model. The record is from RNAcentral.